This 475-nucleotide ribosomal RNA is filed under the name uncultured bacterium. RNAcentral describes it as "SSU rRNA". It matches the Rfam family "Bacterial small subunit ribosomal RNA", at positions 26 to 518 of the family's 1533-position model. The record is from RNAcentral.
AGGACGAACGCUGGCGGCGUGCUUAACACAUGCAAGUCGAGCGGAAAGGCCCUUCGGGGUACUCGAGCGGCGAACGGGUGAGUAACACGUGAGCAACCUGCCCCUGGCUCUGGGAUAGCCUCCGGAAAACGGGGAUUAAUACCGGACAUGACCUGCUGCCGCAUGGUGGCGGGUGGAAAGUUUUUCGGCCAGGGUGGGCUCGCGGCCUAUCAGCUUGUUGGGGGGGUGACGGCCCACCAAGGCGACGACGGGUAGCCGGCCUGAGAGGGCGACCGGCCACACUGGGACUGAGACACGGCCCAGACUCCUACGGGAGGCAGCAGUGGGGAAUAUUGCGCAAUGGGCGAAAAGCCUGACGCAGCGACGCCGCGUGAGGGAUGAAGGCCUUCGGGUUGUAAACCGUCUUUCAGCAGGACGAAGCGAAAGUGACGGUACCUGCAGAAGAAGACACGGCCAACUACGCGCCAGCAGUCGC